GCGACCCCAGGUCAGGCGGGAUUACCCGCUGAGUUU
This 36-nucleotide ribosomal RNA is filed under the name Mitchella repens. Its description in RNAcentral is "partial 26S ribosomal RNA". Lineage: Eukaryota; Viridiplantae; Streptophyta; Magnoliopsida; Gentianales; Rubiaceae. The record is from RNAcentral. RNAcentral also lists the same sequence under 38 other names.